UGAAAACUAAAGUUAUUUUAAAGAAUGAUUCGUUAGAAUGAAAAGUAGCCGUAAAUUUCCCGCCCUCACGAUUAAGUGCAUGUCUCUAUUUUAUUUCUUCUCAGACAACACAAAAUAUGCAAUUUAUGUUGUCUGAUUUGUAAAUGCAUAGGGAAAAAAAUUAAGGACUGAGAUGUAACAGCAGGAAAUCUCCCACUCUUGAAAUUUAAGGAUGUUAUUUUUUCUCAGACAACAAAAUAUACAAUUUACGUUGUGUGAUUUGUAAAAUGGAUAGGGAAAAAAUUAAGGCUGAGAUGUAGCAGCGGGAAAUCUCCCGCUCUUAUAAUUUAAGAAUGUCAUUUCUCAUACACCAAAAUUUAAAGUUAUGUUGUACGAUCUAAAAAACACUUGACUCAAAAACCUAAAGGCCGAACUUGACACUAAGACAGAAAAAAAAAAGUAUUGCUAAAAAGUAUCGCGCACACACACACUCACCGCUCUCUCUCUCUUCUCUCUUUCUCUGUCGAACUCAACCGCGCGCACUCUCAUUUUCUCUCUUCUCUCUUCCUCAAUUUCUUGUCAAUCACUCCUCUCAAUUUCUUUCACUCUGGAACUCAAUCACUCCUCCCUCAAUCGAGACUAAGCCACUGUCACUCGAUUAGGGUUCGUCGAUUUGGGGUUUCGUCCAUUUGGCGCCUCGGAUUUCUUCCAAUUUGGAUCGAGGUUUGUAUUCUUCUCCUUUCUCCGAUGAGGCUUCUACGAAGGGGUUUCUGGGUUAGUUUAGUUUGAGGUUAGUUUCUGGGUUAGGUUAGUUCGAUUUCUUCGUUUCUUUGAUUAGGUGAAGAGUAACAUAACGAUUGGUUAAAGUGGAAGGAUUGGGUUCUUCGAAACGACGCCGUUAUGGUCGAAACGGAGGAAAAGGGUCGGCUUUGUGAGAGUGUUGCUGCUGUGGGUUGGUUAAAGUCGGGCCCUUGGUGGGUUCGGGUUCAGGUUUGCGUGAGUCUGGGUUUGAGUGAGAUGAGAGAAGAGGAGAGAAGAGAAUUGGGUUUGUUGAUGAGAGGUGGUAUGAGGCAGUGUAGGAGGAUAGGGAGGGUUUAUGGGUUUUGGGGGAAUAAGGAAGAUGGGGUAGUUUUGUAUUUGGUGUGUGAGGAAUGGUGGUGGUUUUGGGAGAGAUGGGUUGGGGGGUUUUGGUGUGAUUGGGAUGGGGGUGUGUGAGGCUGUGAUGGAGAUGCAUUUGUUGGUGGUGGUUUUGGUGCUUCGUGUUUCGGUUUUGAUGAUUUUGGUGGAGUUUUGAGUUGUGAGUUUUUGUAUUUGCAGAAUAUUUGUGUGUGAACCCAAGUCAGAGGUCAGUAUGUAGCUUAGUGGUUUGUGAGGCAUGACUUUGCUGAAAAGAGCGCUCACCAGUCUGAGAAGAGGCGGAUUUACAACAUGUCUAGAAAGUCUAAAAUCCAGACCAAGAUGAAGAAGGUAGUUUCUUAUCAUAUUUACAUUCUCUAUGACUUGAUAUUUACAUUAUUUGUGAAGUGAAUAUAUUCCGUGAGCACUUAUCUCUAUCAUAUCUUUAAUUGAUAAACUUCUACUUUGAUUUCUUUAGCUUUUGUCAUUCUUGGUGCUCUAUGUAUUUGUAUUCAAAUCAUAAUCUUGGGUUAUUUUGCUUCUUUCUGUUUUGGAUUAUGAGUUUAUGGAUCCUAGGAUGUAUCAGGGAAAACUAGUACAUCUAUCAACUAUAUUGUAAAUGCUAUGGUAAUUUACAUAUUUUGAUUAUCUGCUUUAUAUUGAUGGGUAUAUAUAUUGUAAAUUGUUCCUACUGCUCUUCUCCUAUGAGCUUCAUCGUCAACUUGGCUUGUUGGACAUAUCUCAUCACAUCUUUGUCAAGUAUGUGAUUACAAGCAUUUUCUUUCUUGGAAGAGUUGUGCAAAGUUCUUUUUUAGGAUCAUGCAUUGGAUGCUAUUUUCAAAAUCUAAUGUUAAAGACGGCUUUGUUUGGUUUUGAAGUUCUGUGGAUCCUGAUGUUGUUGAACUUACCAAAAUUAUGCGAGAAUUUUCUUCAUGCCUAUCCAGUUUGGCUUUUAAAAUUUUGAGAAGUUGCCUGUUGUAGUCACUUGAAGUUGGAAUUAGCUCCAUUCUUGGUGCAGUAGUUGUUCCACCAGUAAGCUUAUUCUAAUUAUAUACUUAUGCAGCUUGUUUAUGUAUUGUGAAUGCCAGUAAUGGUUUAUCUUGUAUGUCUCAAACUUGAUAAGUUCUAUGCCAAAGGAUCUUGAUAACUCCCCUUAACAUUUCAUAGGUUAUAUCCUGAUGCCAAUGUGUUUUGUCUUAUGCAAAUACAUCAUGUUUAGUAGUUCAUCCGGAAAAGGGGUAUAUAGGGUUAACACUGCUAUGAUCUUAAGUAGUGUUCCGGAAAGAUGUAUUGGAGAUUGAAAAUUCCCUUAUAAUGCCUCAGUAUAUUUGUUGGUGGAAGAGGGUUUCAAGUAUGGUCUCUUUUAAGUAAGGCUGUAUCAUAUUACAAUAACAUAAUGAUAUUACUAAUGUUUUGAUUUAAAUAAAUAAGAACAAAAUUAGUACUUGUUGGAUGUAUUUCUCUUAUAAUCACAUCUGUAAGUGUUGUGUUUUGGCUCGUUGAUAUGAUUUGGAAGUUAGGAUUCAGCAAGCAAAUCCAAGUCCAGAAAGGAAAGAGGUUUUUUCUAUAAGUUCUAGGAAAGUAAUCUUUCAAGAUCUGUUAGGAUUUUGUCUACUAGGUUUAGGAGUCCUAAAACCUUAUUGUAUCAGCAGCCCCUAUUCACUAGAAAUAGGAGCUGCAGGGGGUUUUCUAAGGUUAAGAUAGAGAGCACAGAAAACCGAGAGCUAAGGGUGAUAGAGAGAUCUAGCAGGGAGUUGGGGAUUAGCAUAGGGAUUUCAAUAAGUACUUGUAAUCAGGUUGUUAUUCUCCAUAGUGCUAGUGAUCUCUCAAGAGAGAUCACAUAAGUGGACGUAGGCCAGGGUUUUUGGCUGAACCACUAUAAAAUUGUGUGUUCUGUGUUUCUAUCUUCAAGUUCAUCUAUCUACUUUGCUUAAGUCGUAAAGUACCAGUAAAGACCAGAAAAGAUCCUAGGGCGCUAACCACAAUAAGUGGUAUCAGAGCUUCGGCUCUGGUACUUUGCGAUGGUAGACAGCAAAGGCAUGGUCGAAGCAGAAGAUGUGAAAUCGUUCAUUAAACCCUUAAAUGGCAAGGAUGACUUCACGCUUGGCGGAGGAGGAUGAAGAGUGUCCUGAUUCUACAAGAUCUGUACGAGGCUGUUCUCGGGAUAGAGAAUAAGGCAGUUGAUAUGGCAGAUAAGGUUUGGCAGAAGAUGGACAAGAAGGCAAGGAGCACAAUAGAGUUGCAUCUUGCAGAUCAUGUACUGGGUCGUGUAUUGGAUAGUGGAGGUGACAAUAUGAGCAGCAAAGAGACCUGGGAUUAUCUUGAGAAGGUUUAUGCGGGUAAGGGUCCUAUUGGUGAGAAUAUGGACAGCAACAAGACAUUGGACAAUGUCAAGGAGGCUGACGCAGAUAAAUUCUUCUUGAAGAAAAACUCUAUAGUCUUCGGAUGGAAGAAGGCAGGGAUCUGCAGGAACAUCUGAAUAAAUUUCAGAUUUGUGUUGCCAAUUUAUCAGAGGUGGAUGUGCAAUAUGAAGAAGAGGAUAAAGGACUUAUGCUGCUAACAUCUUUACCAGCUUCAUACCAGCAGUUCAUCACCACACUCGUUUCCGGUAAGGAUUCUCUCAAGUACGAUGAGAGUACCGAAGCUAUUCAAUCUUAUAUUAAGACGAGUAGCGAGACCGAGAGCUCUCAAGGAGGCCUUCAAGUCAAGGGCAAGGAGACAAGUCAGUUGACCAGUAAAAAGGAUAAAUCUAGUAACAAGGGUACAACAAAAUCCAAGAAGAAGUACAAGGAAGGUUGCUUCAAAUGUGAUGCUGCAGACCACUUGAAAAGAAACUACAAAGAAGGGAGGAUGGAAGCACAGGUGACGGCAAGGAGUUCAAGUACAGCCAACAUAGUCAUCAGAAAAGAUGAAGAUGAUUGUGAACUUCUUGUGGUAACGUCCAGCUCCAACGCUUUCAGAGAUUGGAUUUUGGAUACCGGUUGUACAUUCCACAUGUGUGCAAUCCGAGAAUGGUUUGACACAUUUGAGGAGAGUAGCAGCGGAGAAGUUUUCCGGGGAGAUGACUCACAGUGUAGGAUCCUAGGUAUUGGAUCAGUGAAAAUCAGAAUGCAUGACAGAGUUGUUAGAAAGCUGGAGAAUGUCAGAUAUAUUCCUAAGUUAAGGAAGAACUUGAUAUCUUUGGGUACUUUGGACAAGGCCGGUCAUAGGUAUAGCUCUAAAGAAGGAAGACUAAAAGUUAUCAAGGGAUCACUUGUUGUGAUGAAGGGCGACAUUCAACCUAACAACGUGUACAAGCUUAAAGGGACUACCAUAAUAGGUGGAGUUGCAAUGUCUACUGAGGUAAAUGACAAGACUGAGCAAUGGCAGCAAGGCCUACGGCGCAUGAGUACAAAGAGGAAUGCAGGAACUCUACGAAGGAAAGUAAGGCAGAAGGUGUUGGUGUUUGCAAACUGAACUUCUGCAAGGAUGGUACUCUUGGGAAGCAGAAGGUGGCAUUCAAGUUGGUAGAUUGUGAGAACAAAAGCAAACGAUUGCUGGAUUAUAUUCACUCAGAAGUAUGGCGCGCAAAUCAAGUAAGGCGUAUGGGAGGCUUCAAGUACCUUGUUACUUUUCUAGAUGAUUUUUCAAGGAAGAUUUGGGCCUACUUUAUGAAGGAGAAAUCCGAGGUUCUCUUCAAGGUCAAGAAAGGGAAAAGCAAAGUAGGAAAUCUAGAAGGCAGAAAAAUCAAGUAUUUGAGAAGCAACGGUGGCAGUGAAUAUAGAAUGAAAGGGUUCUUACGGUUUUACAAGGAUGAAAUCACAAGGUGCAUCACGGUGAAAGAUAAUCUCCAGGAAAACGGGGCUGCUAGAAGGAUGAAGAAAACUUUUUUUGAGAAAGAAAGAGGCAUGCCGCUGCAUGCUGGGUUACCAGACACAUUUUGGAAAGAAGCAGUUAACCAUGCGUGUUAUUUGGUUAAUCGGUCACCAUCAAAGGUCUUGGACUUCAAGUGUGCAGAGGAGAUAUGGUCAAGAGAACCAGCUGGGUAUUCUAACUUAAGGAUGUUUGGUAGCAGUGCGUAUGCUCAUAUUUCGAGCAAUGAGCAAACCAAACUCAAGCCAAAUUUUCUAGGUGUUGAGAAAGGAGUAAAGGGCUACAAGUUAUGGAAUAUUGUCAGCAAGAAAAGGGUUCUAAGUAGAUAUGUUAUUGAUGAUAAGACUAUGCCGUUUAAUGAAGUAAAGACAAGUGAGGUGAAGACGAAGACUGAUGUUGGUGUUGUAGAUGAAGCAACAGAAGUUCCUCUAACCAAAGAGAUCAUGGAAGAGACUCCAGCUCAGGUGGAGCAAAUUGAGCAGGUGGAGCAAAUUGAGCAGGUGGAGCAUGAUAAAGGGGUUAUCGAGAUAGAAGUCUUAGAGCGGCAACAACAGUCACUAAUACAAGCUCAGGUGGAGCAAUUAGCACUGCGAACCUACGACUCAGUUCGUCAGUCGCUUGAGCAGGAGUUCCAGAGAAGCAUAGCAUUGGACAAGUAUGCUCUAAGUUUCAGUCCAGGAGAUCCAACCACGUAUCAGGAAGCUAUAGCAAAAAUAUAUACGGGAAAGUUGGAUGGGAGCUAUGUUAGAACAGAAGAAGAAGUCCAUACCAAAGGACUUGGUUCAGGAGUCGGUUCCUAAACCCAAAGAAGGAAAUCUGGUUGGCUGUAAAUGGGUUUAUAGGAAAAGGGAAGAAAUGCAUGAUAAGGAAGUCAUGAGUUGCAAAGCUCGGGUAUUGGCUAAGGAGUAUGCGUAUAAAGAAAAGGUCAAUUAUGACAAAAUCUCACCAGCAGAUAGAUGCGCUUAUUAUCAUGUGUUCAAGGAUAGCAUGAUUUUACUAUCAGGUGAUGUGUUAACUACAUGUCAGGAUGUGUCUAGAAUUCCAAAGUUAAAGACACAACUAAGGAGGGAAUUCGACAUGAAGGGUCUAGAAGCUGCACAACAGAUCCUAGAAGUGAAGGUAAGGAGGGACAGAGAAGCCAGAAAAUUAUGGCUGUUGACUGAACCCAUGUCUACUCCACCAGUAGCACACUUUCAGUUUAGUGUGCAGGGGGGAUCAUCUACAGUUGAGUUAGAUGAGAUGAUGCAUGUGUCUUAUGCAAGAGUAGUGGGAUGUCUUAUGGCUAGAAUCUUCAAAAGACCAGGUUUAACUCAAGGAUUGAGCAUUGUGUCAAAGUAUGUGGUGAAUCCGGGUAGACGAUACUGGCAAGCAGCAACGUGGAUUCUGUAUUACUUGAGAAACACAAAGGAACAUGAAUUUCUGUUUGAAAGACAACAAGAACAAGCAUGCAUUGCUGGUCAUGAGAGGUCAGAUUUGGCAGGAGACUUAGACAAAGGAAGAUCUGCAACAAGUAAUGUAUUUACUUGCAGCAAAGGUUCAGGAAGUUGUAGAACAACUAUGGAAUCAGCUGAGAUAUUGUCUACCACUGAAGUAGAUUGCAUGGCAGUAACAGAAGCUUCCGCAGAGGCGUUAUGGCUUAAUGGGUUAACGAGUGAGUUUGAGAUUCAACAAAAAACUGUGGUGAAGAAUGGUGUCAUCAAUUUGACAAGGAAUCAAGUGUUUCAAGCAGAGACGAAGCAUGUUGAUGUUCGUGGUCAUCGCAGCAAAGGUUGGGUCAGCUCAGGGAAGAUAACAACUGAGGAAGAAGCACAUUCAAGGGAGAAUGUUUCAGAUUGUUUUACCAGGACCAUUGCCAUAGAGAAGUUCAAGCAUUGCUUGGACUUCCUCAGUGUCACAGCUUGCUGAGUUGUGGUGGAGCACCUCCUCACUUGAGGUGCGUUAAGGCAAGAGGAGUCUUGCCAAGGUGAAGGCUCUUGGAGGUUUGUUCAGGGUUACUUCAAGAAGAUUCAAGAUAUCCUGAAGGGUGCAACAAUCAUUUGGUAUCAACUCACCAAGGUGGAGAUUGUUGUGUUUUGGCUCGUUGAUAUGAUUUGGAAGUUAGGAUUCAGCAAGCAAAUCCAAGUCCAGAAAGGAAAGAGGUUUUUUCUAUAAGUUCUAGGAAAGUAAUCUUUCAAGAUCUGUUAGGAUUUUGUCUACUAGGUUUAGGAGUCCUAAAACCUUAUUGUAUCAGCAGCCCCUAUUCACUAGAAAUAGGAGCUGCAGGGGGUUUUCUAAGGUUAAGAUAGAGAGCACAGAAAACCGAGAGCUAAGGGUGAUAGAGAGAUCUAGCAGGGAGUUGGGGAUUAGCAUAGGGAUUUCAAUAAGUACUUGUAAUCAGGUUGUUAUUCUCCAUAGUGCUAGUGAUCUCUCAAGAGAGAUCACAUAAGUGGACGUAGGCCAGGGUUUUGGCUGAACCACUAUAAAAUUGUGUGUGCUGUGUUUCUAUCUUCAAGUUCAUCUAUCUACUUUGCUUAAGUUGUAAAGUACCAGUAAAGACCAGAAAAGAUCCUAGGGCGCUAACCACAAUAGUAAGUGCAUUUAUAAAAUUUAUUGGAAUGAAAAGUAUGAAUCCAUGCCAUUGGGAUAUAGUCUUUGCCUUAAAAUGCAUGAAUCAUUUUGUUUUGUGCUUCCCACAAGAAAUACAUGGUGCAAAGACAAUUGAUUGAUUUAGGCUUCUGGUCAUAAUGUUGAUCGUACUAAAAGAGCAUAUGCUAUAGUAAUAUAGAAUUCAUUUACUAGUGAGGCAUGUUAUUAGCUAGCCUUUGGUUAUAAAAUUUGGUUGUUUUAUCAUUCUUUCAAUUUGACAGGCAAUUGGUUCUUUCCAAAAGCAGCAGCAAGAGACAAGGAAAAUCAGACAUAUCAGCGAAAGAAGAGGAAAACUAGAAGAGGGAGAUCAAGUAUACAAUUUUGGUAUUGUUCUUUAAAUAAUUUUAGCCAGUUCUCCAUAUAACUGUUUGGUGGAGUAUAUCCCAAUGUCAAGUUUCUUACAUGCAUAAACUUGUUAAUAUAUGUGUCUAAAUUUGGUUAACAAAAUUGGAUUUCACUAGUUUUCAUUGGUCAUUUUGAUGUGUAUCUGGAUUCGAGCUUUGACAAUCAUAUGUUUGUGUUUACAACCAAAAGUAGGGUGUCAUAGUUAAUAAUCUAUAUAUUUUUUGUGCAGAUACUGAAACAUGAAAAGGUUUUGAGCAAGAAGCCCCCUGCUCCUCACACCAUGGAUGUGUAUGUGUGUAGUAGUGCACCCAUGCUCGUUUUUUUGUGUAGGUCAUUCAAUACAGG
RNAcentral lists this long non-coding RNA (8262 nucleotides) under Fragaria vesca (wild strawberry). RNAcentral describes it as "long non-coding RNA (FVES_LNC000556)". Lineage: Eukaryota; Viridiplantae; Streptophyta; Magnoliopsida; Rosales; Rosaceae. The record is from RNAcentral.